UUUGGUUAAGUUAGAAAGGGCGCACGGUGGAUGCCUUGACACUAGGAGUCGAUGAAGGACGGGACUAACGCCGAUAUGCUUCGGGGAGCUGUAAGUAAGCUUUGAUCCGAAGAUUUCCGAAUGGGGAAACCCACCAUACGUAAUGGUAUGGUAUCCUUAUCUGAAUACAUAGGGUAAGGAAGACAGACCCAGGGAACUGAAACAUCUAAGUACCUGGAGGAAGAGAAAGCAAAUGCGAUUUCCUGAGUAGCGGCGAGCGAAACGGAACAUAGCCCAAACCAAGAGGCUUGCCUCUUGGGGUUGUAGGACAUUCUAUACGGAGUUACAAAGGAACGAGGUAGACGAAGCGACCUGGAAAGGUCCGUCGUAGAGGGUAACAACCCCGUAGUCGAAACUUCGUUCUCUCUUGAAUGUAUCCUGAGUACGGCGGAACACGUGAAAUUCCGUCGGAAUCUGGGAGGACCAUCUCCCAAGGCUAAAUACUCCCUAGUGAUCGAUAGUGAACCAGUACCGUGAGGGAAAGGUGAAAAGCACCCCGGAAGGGGAGUGAAAGAGAUCCUGAAACCGUGUGCCUACAAAUAGUCAGAGCCCGUUAACGGGUGAUGGCGUGCCUUUUGUAGAAUGAACCGGCGAGUUACGAUCCCGUGCGAGGUUAAGCUGAAGAGGCGGAGCCGCAGCGAAAGCGAGUCUGAAUAGGGCGUUUAGUACGUGGUCGUAGACCCGAAACCAGGUGAUCUACCCAUGUCCAGGGUGAAGUUCAGGUAACACUGAAUGGAGGCCCGAACCCACGCACGUUGAAAAGUGCGGGGAUGAGGUGUGGGUAGCGGAGAAAUUCCAAUCGAACCUGGAGAUAGCUGGUUCUCCCCGAAAUAGCUUUAGGGCUAGCCUUAAGUGUAAGAGUCUUGGAGGUAGAGCACUGAUUGGACUAGGGGUCCUCAUCGGAUUACCGAAUUCAGUCAAACUCCGAAUGCCAAUGACUUAUCCUUAGGAGUCAGACUGCGAGUGAUAAGAUCCGUAGUCAAAAGGGAAACAGCCCAGACCGCCAGCUAAGGUCCCAAAGUGUGUAUUAAGUGGAAAAGGAUGUGGAGUUGCUUAGACAACUAGGAUGUUGGCUUAGAAGCAGCCACCAUUUAAAGAGUGCGUAAUAGCUCACUAGUCGAGUGACUCUGCGCCGAAAAUGUACCGGGGCUAAAUACACCACCGAAGCUGCGGAUUGAUACCAAUGGUAUCAGUGGUAGGGGAGCGUUCUAAGGACAGUGAAGUCAGACCGUAAGGACUGGUGGAGUGCUUAGAAGUGAGAAUGCCGGUAUGAGUAGCGAAAGACGGGUGAGAAUCCCGUCCACCGAAUGCCUAAGGUUUCCUGAGGAAGGCUCGUCCGCUCAGGGUUAGUCAGGACCUAAGCCGAGGCCGACAGGCGUAGGCGAUGGACAACAGGUUGAUAUUCCUGUACCACCUCUUUAUCGUUUGAGCAAUGGAGGGACGCAGAAGGAUAGAAGAAGCGUGCGAUUGGUUGUGCACGUCCAAGCAGUUAGGCUGAUAAGUAGGCAAAUCCGCUUAUCAUAAAGGCUGAGCUGUGAUGGGGAAGCUCCUUAUGGAGCGAAGUCUUUGAUUCCCCGCUGCCAAGAAAAGCUUCUAGCGAGAUAAAAGGUGCCUGUACCGCAAACCGACACAGGUAGGCGAGGAGAGAAUCCUAAGGUGUGCGAGAGAACUCUGGUUAAGGAACUCGGCAAAAUGACCCCGUAACUUCGGGAGAAGGGGUGCUUUCUUAACGGAAAGCCGCAGUGAAUAGGCCCAAGCGACUGUUUAGCAAAAACACAGCUCUCUGCGAAGCCGUAAGGCGAAGUAUAGGGGGUGACACCUGCCCGGUGCUGGAAGGUUAAGGAGAGGGGUUAGCGUAAGCGAAGCUCUGAACUGAAGCCCCAGUAAACGGCGGCCGUAACUAUAACGGUCCUAAGGUAGCGAAAUUCCUUGUCGGGUAAGUUCCGACCCGCACGAAAGGUGUAACGAUUUGGGCACUGUCUCAACCAGAGACUCGGUGAAAUUAUAGUACCUGUGAAGAUGCAGGUUACCCGCGACAGGACGGAAAGACCCCGUGGAGCUUUACUGUAGCCUGAUAUUGAAUUUUGGUACAGUUUGUACAGGAUAGGCGGGAGCCAUUGAAACCGGAGCGCUAGCUUCGGUGGAGGCGCUGGUGGGAUACCGCCCUGACUGUAUUGAAAUUCUAACCUACGGGUCUUAUCGACCCGGGAGACAGUGUCAGGUGGGCAGUUUGACUGGGGCGGUCGCCUCCUAAAGUGUAACGGAGGCGCCCAAAGGUUCCCUCAGAAUGGUUGGAAAUCAUUCGUAGAGUGCAAAGGCAUAAGGGAGCUUGACUGCGAGACCUACAAGUCGAGCAGGGACGAAAGUCGGGCUUAGUGAUCCGGUGGUUCCGCAUGGAAGGGCCAUCGCUCAACGGAUAAAAGCUACCCCGGGGAUAACAGGCUUAUCUCCCCCAAGAGUCCACAUCGACGGGGAGGUUUGGCACCUCGAUGUCGGCUCAUCGCAUCCUGGGGCUGUAGUCGGUCCCAAGGGUUGGGCUGUUCGCCCAUUAAAGCGGUACGCGAGCUGGGUUCAGAACGUCGUGAGACAGUUCGGUCCCUAUCCGUCGUGGGCGUAGGAAAUUUGAGAGGAGCUGUCCUUAGUACGAGAGGACCGGGAUGGACGCACCGCUGGUGUACCAGUUGUUCUGCCAAGGGCAUAGCUGGGUAGCUAUGUGCGGAAGGGAUAAGUGCUGAAAGCAUCUAAGCAUGAAGCCCCCUCAAGAUGAGAUUUCCCAUAGCGUAAGCUAGUAAGAUCCCUGAAAGAUGAUCAGGUUGAUAGGUUCGAGGUGGAAGCAUGGUGACAUGUGGAGCUGACGAAUACUAAUAGAUCGAGGACUUAACCAUAUAA
Molecule: ribosomal RNA, 2928 nt
Filed under: Bacillus thuringiensis
Lineage: Bacteria; Bacillati; Bacillota; Bacilli; Caryophanales; Bacillaceae
Also listed under: 1 other name
Description: bacterial LSU rRNA
Rfam family: Bacterial large subunit ribosomal RNA
Source: RNAcentral